Camelina sativa (false flax) is the source of this 833-nucleotide non-coding RNA. The record is from RefSeq and is a predicted model, not a curated record. Lineage: Eukaryota; Viridiplantae; Streptophyta; Magnoliopsida; Brassicales; Brassicaceae.
AGAAGUAUUUUCUAAAAUCUCUCUUUACUCUGUCACUCAACUACUACUAUCCACCUUGAAUCCAGUAGCCUCGAGGUGGUUUUCUUACUUCAUAUCAUCUCGCAUGAAGACUCCUAAUUCUAGCCACUGGUCGGAGCUUCCUAUGGACAAGAAGGUUUCAAAAAUUUGCCAUUUCCUCCGUCAAAUCCUGGGCGUGAUUUUUAUGAAAAAACAAUUACCUAUAACAUUGCUGUUACGACAUCAGGAGAGGUUUUGUUGGUCGAGAUCUACUUUUACGAAACAACAAUGCGUAGGAGGUUCAGUCUCUUCAAGAAGGAUCCUAAUCCAGACCCUGAUGCUAUUAACAACGAUCCGAACCCGCUUGUUGAGGUACAUUCUCUAGGUAAUGAGGCAAUGCUUCUUGAUUUGGGUAUCACCGUGCCUGCUGACCAUACCCUUGGUAUCGAACCAAACUCUAUCUAUUUCACCCGUCAUGACCGUACUUUUAAGCGAGGCAAAAAACCUUCAUGCCUGGACAUAUGUGUGUUCAACCUUGCAACAAAGAACCUCAAACGCUUCCCUGGUCUCUACAACUUAAACUUCACAGAUGCUCGAUGGUUUCUCCCCUCAUGAUCUUGAUUUGUUUUUCUUUUCUUGGAGAGUUCACACAUUUUCUCUUCUGUUAUAAUUCUUUUUAUAUUCUAUGUGUAUCGAAUAAGCUUUGAAAACAUAUUAAGGACUAAAAACAUGAUAUACCUCCAACUUAAAGCUCAUGGAUGCUCGAUGGUUUCUUCCGUCUUGAUUUGUUUCUUUCUGCAUUCCUUUGUAGUGUUCUUAAGAGAUUUUUUACACCU